Molecule: long non-coding RNA, 303 nt
Organism: Cyprinus carpio (common carp)
Lineage: Eukaryota; Metazoa; Chordata; Actinopteri; Cypriniformes; Cyprinidae
Source: Ensembl
AUGGAGAAGUUCAGGCGUGUGGUUGAUGACUGUGAAGAUGGCAGACUGAAAAAAGGACUACAGUUGGAAGCAGCUAUUCUGCUCUUGCCUGCACUGUUUAAGGAGGACCCGGGGUUGCUGUUUGAAGUUGAGGGCCAUGCUCAGACCUGCCCUCCUGACACACCAACACCUAAAAUGCAUGUGACACUGAAGGCUGGAGUAAUGAUGCUGAAAAUUCAGCUUUGCACAACAGGAAUAAAUUAUUUUUUUUAAAGUAUAUUCAAAUAGAAAACAGUUAUUUAAAAUUGUAAAAAUAUGUCACAG